RNAcentral lists this ribosomal RNA (1320 nucleotides) under Staphylococcus saprophyticus. RNAcentral's name for it is "bacterial SSU rRNA". It matches the Rfam family "Bacterial small subunit ribosomal RNA", at positions 37 to 1339 of the family's 1533-position model. The record is from RNAcentral. Lineage: Bacteria; Bacillati; Bacillota; Bacilli; Caryophanales; Staphylococcaceae.
GGGCGGCGUGCCUAAUACAUGCAAGUCGAGCGAACAGAUAAGGAGCUUGCUCCUUUGAAGUUAGCGGCGGACGGGUGAGUAACACGUGGGUAACCUACCUAUAAGACUGGGAUAACUUCGGGAAACCGGAGCUAAUACCGGAUAACAUUUAGAACCGCAUGGUUCUAAAGUGAAAGAUGGUUUUGCUAUCACUUAUAGAUGGACCCGCGCCGUAUUAGCUAGUUGGUAAGGUAACGGCUUACCAAGGCGACGAUACGUAGCCGACCUGAGAGGGUGAUCGGCCACACUGGAACUGAGACACGGUCCAGACUCCUACGGGAGGCAGCAGUAGGGAAUCUUCCGCAAUGGGCGAAAGCCUGACGGAGCAACGCCGCGUGAGUGAGAAGGGUUUCGGCUCGUAAAACUCUGUUAUUAGGGAAGAACAAAUGUGUAAGUAACUGUGCACAUCUUGACGGUACCUAAUCAGAAAGCCACGGCUAACUACGUGCCAGCAGCCGCGGUAAUACGUAGGUGGCAAGCGUUAUCCGGAAUUAUUGGGCGUAAAGCGCGCGUAGGCGGUUUCUUAAGUCUGAUGUGAAAGCCCACGGCUCAACCGUGGAGGGUCAUUGGAAACUGGGAAACUUGAGUGCAGAAGAGGAAAGUGGAAUUCCAUGUGUAGCGGUGAAAUGCGCAGAGAUAUGGAGGAACACCAGUGGCGAAGGCGACUUUCUGGUCUGUAACUGACGCUGAUGUGCGAAAGCGUGGGGAUCAAACAGGAUUAGAUACCCUGGUAGUCCACGCCGUAAACGAUGAGUGCUAAGUGUUAGGGGGUUUCCGCCCCUUAGUGCUGCAGCUAACGCAUUAAGCACUCCGCCUGGGGAGUACGACCGCAAGGUUGAAACUCAAAGGAAUUGACGGGGACCCGCACAAGCGGUGGAGCAUGUGGUUUAAUUCGAAGCAACGCGAAGAACCUUACCAAAUCUUGACAUCCUUUGAAAACUCUAGAGAUAGAGCCUUCCCCUUCGGGGGACAAAGUGACAGGUGGUGCAUGGUUGUCGUCAGCUCGUGUCGUGAGAUGUUGGGUUAAGUCCCGCAACGAGCGCAACCCUUAAGCUUAGUUGCCAUCAUUAAGUUGGGCACUCUAGGUUGACUGCCGGUGACAAACCGGAGGAAGGUGGGGAUGACGUCAAAUCAUCAUGCCCCUUAUGAUUUGGGCUACACACGUGCUACAAUGGACAAUACAAAGGGCAGCUAAACCGCGAGGUCAUGCAAAUCCCAUAAAGUUGUUCUCAGUUCGGAUUGUAGUCUGCAACUCGACUACAUGAAGCUGGAAUCGCUAGU